UUACAGCUUAUGUGGCCUGAAGACUCA
This 27-nucleotide small RNA is filed under the name Bombyx mori (domestic silkworm). RNAcentral describes it as "ovarian small RNA-36437". Lineage: Eukaryota; Metazoa; Arthropoda; Insecta; Lepidoptera; Bombycidae. The record is from RNAcentral.